AGGUGAUCACCCGCGCUAUGCCGC
Molecule: non-coding RNA, 24 nt
Filed under: Arabidopsis thaliana (thale cress)
Lineage: Eukaryota; Viridiplantae; Streptophyta; Magnoliopsida; Brassicales; Brassicaceae
Source: RNAcentral